GCCAAGGAGAGUUUGAUCCUGGCUCAGGAUGAACGCUGGCGGCGUGCCUAACACAUGCAAGUCGGACGGGGCCAUGGGGAAGCCGUUUUGUAGCUUGCUAUAUCGCGGCGGAGCCAUGGCCUAGUGGCGGACGGGUGAGUAACGCGUGAGGACCUGCCCGGCGGAGGGGGACAACAGCUGGAAACGGCUGCUAAUACCGCGUAUGCGCGAGCGAUCGCGUGAGAGGGCGCGGAGAC
Molecule: ribosomal RNA, 236 nt
Filed under: Synergistaceae bacterium
Lineage: Bacteria; Thermotogati; Synergistota; Synergistia; Synergistales; Synergistaceae
Description: partial 16S ribosomal RNA
Rfam family: Bacterial small subunit ribosomal RNA
Source: RNAcentral